AUUCUGACUGUGCGAAGGUAGCAUAAUAAAUUGUCUUUUAAAUGAAGGCUUGAAUGAAAGGUUGGACAAAGUGUCAUCUGUUUCUUAAAUAUUUAUUGAAUUUGACUUUCAAGUGAAAAGGCUUGAAUAAAUUAAAAAGACGAUAAGACCCUAUAAAUCUUUACAAUAAAUAUAUUUUAUAUUUUAGUUUAUUAAGUGUAUAAGAUAUUGAAUAUAUAGUUGUUUCGCUGGGGCGGCGUGGAUAUAUUAAUAAACUGUCUAUAUAUUAAAACCAAUAAUUAUUGAUUAAUAAGAAUGAUCCUUAAACAGAUUAGAAGAUUAAGAUACUUUAGGGAUAACAGCGUUAUUUUUUUUGAGAGUUCUUAUCGAAGAAAAAGUUUGCGACCUCGAUGUUGAAUUAAAGUAUCUUUAUGGUGCAGCCGCUAUAAGAGAG
Molecule: ribosomal RNA, 433 nt
Filed under: Pagurus brachiomastus
Lineage: Eukaryota; Metazoa; Arthropoda; Malacostraca; Decapoda; Paguridae
Also listed under: 1 other name
Description: partial 16S ribosomal RNA
Rfam family: Bacterial large subunit ribosomal RNA
Source: RNAcentral